This 591-nucleotide ribosomal RNA is filed under the name Debaryomyces hansenii. Its description in RNAcentral is "LSU rRNA". It matches the Rfam family "Eukaryotic large subunit ribosomal RNA", at positions 65 to 671 of the family's 3401-position model. Lineage: Eukaryota; Fungi; Ascomycota; Pichiomycetes; Serinales; Debaryomycetaceae. The record is from RNAcentral.
CCCACGGGUNGAUGCGUUACUACGGCGAGUGAAGCGGCAAAAGCUCAAAUUUGAAAUCUGGCACCUUCGGUGUCCGAGUUGUAAUUUGAAGAAGGUAACUUUGGAGUUGGCUCUUGUCUAUGUUCCUUGGAACAGGACGUCACAGAGGGUGAGAAUCCCGUGCGAUGAGAUGCCCAAUUCUAUGUAAAGUGCUUUCGAAGAGUCGAGUUGUUUGGGAAUGCAGCUCUAAGUGGGUGGUAAAUUCCAUCUAAAGCUAAAUAUUGGCGAGAGACCGAUAGCGAACAAGUACAGUGAUGGAAAGAUGAAAAGAACUUUGAAAAGAGAGUGAAAAAGUACGUGAAAUUGUUGAAAGGGAAGGGCUUGAGAUCAGACUUGGUAUUUUGCGAUCCUUUCCUUCUUGGUUGGGUUCCUCGCAGCUUACUGGGCCAGCAUCGGUUUGGAUGGUAGGAUAAUGACUAAGGAAUGUGGCUCUACUUCAGUGGAGUGUUAUAGCCUUGGUUGAUAUUGCCUGUCUAGACCGAGGACCGCGUCUUUUGACUAGGAUGUUGGCAUAAUGAUCUUACGCCACCCGUCGUGAAAGACAGACAAAAA